UUUUUUAUCAUCAUACUAUAUAUCGAUGUCCAUGUCAUUGAAAUUUUGUUAUAUACCAUAUAAAAUAAAUAAAAAAUGAUUGUUUUGAUUUAUUUAAUAAAAAAGUAUCUUAAGUAAACAAGAUGUAUUGUUUAUUUUUAUGUGUUUACUCUAAUUUAAUUAUGUAUUGUUUAUUGUUAAUUUAAUUAUGUGUUUACUCUAUAUUAAUAAAGUUUCUCAGAAAGGCUCCAGGUGAAGCCACGUCAGCAGACCCUGUUCAUUUUAUUGACACGUGUCCAAGAGGGAGGAGCUUCACUUUUUUCUUAUGGGAGAGUUUGGUUUUUUUUUUGGGCUUUAGUUUGAAAGAAGAAUUCUUCUUUUGCGGGAGAGUUUAGUUUUGUUGGGCUUUUGUUUUUAAUUUGGGCUUUAGUGAUCUUGCUAGGGUUCACGGUGUAUCUUCACGGCAUUGCCAUCUCCGCCUUCCUCUUUCCAUCCUCUUUGCUUUCUCACCAUCUCUGUAACGUAGUCUUCCUCAUUGAAAUCGAUCUUUAAUUUGAUCAUUAGUUUUCACCCCACCUCUCUUCCCACUCCAUCUCAUUUACUCUCAUGGUCGACCCGGUUUUGUAACAGAUUGAAGGUGGCUUUAUAAAUAAGUGCGUCUUGGAGCUAUGAGGAUCUACAGCUCUGAGAUUUAUAGCUUAAGCAAUCCGACACGCCUUCCGAUAUGUCUUCUUAUGUUCUUCUCGCUAACUUGAGAGCAGGCCGUUGCUCAAACACCGCUGAAGUUCGUCUUCUGAGGUUCUGGGAAGCUCGCAACGACAGGAAAGAUGGAGAGCUUAUGAGCCUUGACAUGCUUCUCCUUGAUGAACAGUCUACGCUGAUACACAGGAGCAUGAACUCAAGCCGCGUUGACACUUUCCGGAGGCGGCUCAGUGAAGGCUCCGUCUACUCUCUCAGUGGUUUCGACGUGGCACGGGCUAACCAAAAAUUCUGACUCUCUGACUCUCCGGUGUCCAUACGCUUCAAUGAUGGGACUGAGUUAUUCAGGUUUCGCAGCCAUGAACAGCUUCUGGCAUUGGCAAAUACUAACAGAGAACUCCCAGAUAUCGUUGGUGAAGUAAGGAGCACGAUCACCGACGUACGCGGUCCUCAGCGUGUAAUGGUGACUCUGCGUUUGGAAGGGUAAGCUGAAUAUUUGUUUAUCCAGUAAUUGACAUCAAACAAACUCAUGUUGUUUUAGCUUUGUCUUUGAUUUCCAUGGUGUGUAUUGGGCAACACUGGAUCUGAAUUGAGUUUCAAACGACAUAUAUUACAGUGCGUAUAGUGCUCUAACGAGAGGAUCAGUCAUACCAUAUACGCUCCACGUUUUGGCUUUGGAUUGAGAUACAACAAUUGCUUGGCUCUCUGUUAUGUAUGUAUUAUAUGCAACAUGACUUGAUCUUAGCUUUUCUUUUCCUUCUCUGAGUGAGGAUAACCUGAGAGCAGCACUUGGUAGAAUGGGAUUGAGUUCGCGAGGAAUGGAAGGUGUUAUUGAUCAAGUGCGGAACAAACAUUAUCAGCUUGCAUGCACAAUGACCUUUGAAGCUGUUUAUGGCACAUCGUGUGAUGCUGGUAUCAACCAUCCAAACCAAUACUUCGAGGAGAGUCGGAAGAUUUUGAAAUCCAAGACGCCCCUGCUCCGGUUUAAAUUAUGAAUACGAUGAGGAAUUGUGUUGAAUUAGAAUCACAGUUUUUCAGAAAUUUCAACUCCUGAAAACCAUGCCUGCAGUAUGCACAAACCUUUCGGCU
Brassica napus (rape) is the source of this 1767-nucleotide long non-coding RNA. RefSeq lists it as uncharacterized. NCBI's taxonomy places the organism in Eukaryota, Viridiplantae, Streptophyta, Magnoliopsida, Brassicales, Brassicaceae. The transcript has 5 exons. The record is from RefSeq and is a predicted model, not a curated record.